GAUGAACGCUGGCGGCGUGCCUAAUACAUGCAAGUCGAGCGAACAGAUGAGGAGCUUGCUCCUCUGACGUUAGCGGCGGACGGGUGAGUAACACGUGGAUAACCUACCUAUAAGACUGGGAUAAGUUCGGGAAACCGGAGCUAAUACCGGAUAAUAUAUUGAACCGCGUGGUUCAAUAGUGAAAGACGGUUUUGCUGUCACUUAUAGAUGGAUCCGCGCCGCAUUAGCUAGUUGGUAAGGUAACGGCUUACCAAGGCAACGAUGCGUAGCCGACCUGAGAGGGUGAUCGGCCACACUGGAACUGAGACACGGUCCAGACUCCUACGGGAGGCAGCAGUAGGGAAUCUUCCGCAAUGGGCGAAAGCUUGACGGAGCAACGCCGCGUGAGUGAUGAAGGUCUUCGGAUCGUAAAACUCUGUUAUUAGGGAAGAACAAAUGUGUAAGUAACUAUGCACGUCUUGACGGUACCUAAUCAGAAAGCCACGGCUAACUACGUG
This 497-nucleotide ribosomal RNA is filed under the name uncultured bacterium. RNAcentral's name for it is "partial 16S ribosomal RNA". It matches the Rfam family "Bacterial small subunit ribosomal RNA", at positions 28 to 507 of the family's 1533-position model. The record is from RNAcentral.